GCCGAAAUAGCUCAGUUGGGAGAGCGUUAGACUGAAGAUCAAAAGGUCUGUGGUUCAAUCCCGGGUUUCGGCA
This 73-nucleotide transfer RNA is filed under the name Danionella translucida. It matches the Rfam family "tRNA". From Rfam's summary of the family: Transfer RNA (tRNA) molecules are approximately 80 nucleotides in length. Their secondary structure includes four short double-helical elements and three loops (D, anti-codon, and T loops). Further hydrogen bonds mediate the characteristic L-shaped molecular structure. tRNAs have two regions of fundamental functional importance: the anti-codon, which is responsible for specific mRNA codon recognition, and the 3' end, to which the tRNAs corresponding amino acid is attached (by aminoacyl-tRNA synthetases). tRNAs cope with the degeneracy of the genetic code in two manners: having more than one tRNA (with a specific anti-codon) for a particular amino acid; and 'wobble' base-pairing, i.e. permitting non-standard base-pairing at the 3rd anti-codon position. Lineage: Eukaryota; Metazoa; Chordata; Actinopteri; Cypriniformes; Danionidae. RNAcentral also lists the same sequence under 1 other name. The record is from Rfam by way of RNAcentral.